This 584-nucleotide ribosomal RNA is filed under the name uncultured bacterium. RNAcentral's name for it is "partial 16S ribosomal RNA". It matches the Rfam family "Bacterial small subunit ribosomal RNA", at positions 355 to 1375 of the family's 1533-position model. The record is from RNAcentral.
UGGGGAAUUUUGGACAAUGGGCGAAAGCCUGAUCCAGCAAUGCCGCAUGUGUGAAGAAGGCCUUCGGGUUGUAAAGCACUUUUGUCCGGAAAGAAAUCCUUGGCUCUAAUACAGUCGGGGGAUGACGGUACCGGAAGAAUAAGCACCGGCUAACUACGUGCCAGCAGCCGCGGUAAUACGUAGGGUGCAAGCGUUAAUCGGAAUUACUGGGCGUAAAGCGUGCGCAGGCGGUUUGCUAAGACCGAUGUGAAAUCCCCGGGCUCAACCUGGGAACUGCAUUGGUGACUGGCAGGCUAGAGUAUGGCAGAGGGGGGUAGAAUUCCACGUGUAGCAGUGAAAUGCGUAGAGAUGUGGAGGAAUACCGAUGGCGAAGGCAGCCCCCUGGGCAAUACUGACGCUCGUGCACGAAAGCGUGGGGAGCAAACAGGAUUAGAUACCCUGGUAGUCCACGCCCUAAACGAUGUCAACUAGUUGUUGGGGAUUCAUUUCCUUAGUAACGUAGCUAACGCGUGAAGUUGACCGCCUGGGGAGUACGGUCGCAAGAUUAAAACUCAAAUGAAUUGACGGGGUCAUAGCUGUUUCCU